Molecule: ribosomal RNA, 781 nt
Filed under: uncultured bacterium
Lineage: Bacteria
Description: bacterial SSU rRNA
Rfam family: Bacterial small subunit ribosomal RNA
Source: RNAcentral
GCAGCUUACACAUGCAGUCGAGCGUGAAAGGGCUUCGGCCUGAGUAAAGCGGCGGACGGGUGAGUAACGCGUAGGAAUCUACCUGGUAGUGGGGGAUAACGUUCCGAAAGGAACGCUAAUACCGCAUACGUUCUGAGGAAGAAAGCAGGGGACCGCAAGGCCUUGCGCUAUCAGAUGAGCCUGCGUCCGAUUAGCUAGUUGGUGGGGUAAAGGCCUACCAAGGCGACGAUCGGUAACUGGUCUGAGAGGAUGAUCAGUCACACUGGAACUGAGACACGGUCCAGACUCCUACGGGAGGCAGCAGUGGGGAAUAUUGGACAAUGGGGGCAACCCUGAUCCAGCCAUGCCGCGUGUGUGAAGAAGGCCUUCGGGUUGUAAAGCACUUUAAGCUGGGAGGAAGGCUCCAUGGCUAAUACCCAUGGGGAUUGACGUUACCAGCAGAAUAAGCACCGGCAAACUUCGUGCCAGCAGCCGCGGUAAUACGAAGGGUGCGAGCGUUAAUCGGAAUUACUGGGCGUAAAGCGCGCGUAGGUGGUUUUGUAAGCGAAAUGUGAAAUCCCCGGGCUCAACCUGGGAACUGCAUGUCGAACUGCAAGGCUAGAGUAUAGUAGAGGAGUGUGGAAUUCCCGGUGUAGCGGUGAAAUGCGUAGAUAUCGGGAGGAACAUCAGUGGCGAAGGCGGCACUCUGGACUGAUACUGACACCGAGGCGCGAAAGCGUGGUAGCGAACAGGAUUAGAUACCCUGGUAGUCCACGCCGUAAACGAUGUCUGCUAGCCGUUG